CUGCGCAGGGACUCUCCAGGGGUGAGAGGUGCUGGAUUCUGCAGGUCGUGCCAAAGGUUUGGACUGCUGCCUGCAGUCGGUGGCGUUGCUGAAAGGGGAUAAAGCAGACCCAACAUGAUUGAAUGUGUACUUUUGAAAGGUCACUACGGCUUCAGGAUAAAGGGUAGUUUGGAGCGGUGGACAGAAAUUUGUUUCAAAAGUACAGACAAGGUGGAGGGGAACUAAGUGAGCCAGUGCCAUGGGGACAGGGCUGACCAAAAGUGAGUGCAUUUGGAACGUACUGAAGACACAGACCACCACGGCAGCGAAAGGCUGGAAUCCAGGUGCCCCAGUGUGAAGCUUAAUCAAGCCCAUUGUCCCAUGGCCUGGUCCCUGAGCUGCAGAGCCCCAGGGGAGGCACAGGUGCAGGAGAAAAAAAAAUCCAUGGCACUGCCAGGUCACCCCGAGGUUCCUAGGGAAUGCCAAGUAGAGGUGGCCGGCAGGUAGCUGCGUGGCUUCCACAUUUUAGCCCUGGGCAAAGAAAGCAAGGAAGAGGAGACACCAGUGGGAGGAGGGAGAUGGUUUGGGUUGAAAUAUUUGUGGCAGGAGCCUCUCGGUUUUGUGACAUUUCUGAGACACAUUGGAUAGAUGAAGGCUGCUCCACCCUGGGGUCAACCUUCUUAGAAACACAGGGACCAGCAGAGAAAGAAGACGUGCAGAGAAGUGCGAAAGCACUCACGCAGAGGACAGGAAGAGCCAGGGCCGCCAGGAAGCCGAAAUCCAUUUACUCUCCUUUAGAAACUCGUGACAGCCUUUCACAUUCUGGCAUUCUCUGCAGAAAUUCAGGAGCGUGUCCACACCCCAUGCGCGCACUCUGCCUGUCUGAAGACACUGAGGGAAGAACUGUGAAAUGGAAACAGAAGUCACGGUCCUCUGUUUCUCUUACUUCAAGUCAAGUGACAGAAGGAGCACUGCUCAGUCACACGGCAGUUCCCAGGUCCACCUGCGGCACCUCCAGACACCAGCCCCGAAGGAGAGGCUACUGUGGGGUUUUGUUUGUUUGUUUUCAGUAGGACGCGUUUUCUUUGUGGUUUAACCUCUCUCCACCCAACCAAGAGGACAGAGAACAGGUCUCACUGCUCUUCAGGGAAGCUCACAGGAGACCCUGGACCGCAAACCAUCUUCAUGGCCUGCCAGGAAGUCAUCUCACUCCAUAGGCCCUGUCUGCCCCCAUAUGGCACCCCCAGUGCUGGAGGAAUGUGAAGCGAGGGCUACCUCUGUGCCGUGGUGCUCCUGACCACUGUCAACUUGGACAUUCAGCCACAGAGACCUCAGCCUUCCCAAGGCACAGUGGCUCAUGCCGGUAAUCCCAGCACUUUGGGAGGCCGAGGCAGGAGGAUUGCUUGAGCCCGGGAGUUUGAGACCAGCCUGGGCAACAAACUGGGCGGCAAACCCUGGUCCAGAAUCAAGCAGCAGUGCUGACACAGAUGCCCUUUUCCCUCCACGUGGCCCUUUGGACUCUCUUGAGUUGCAUGAGUGACUUGAGGUGGAGACAGAGCCGUUAUAUGAGCCAAGCUGCUGUCUGGGUAAAGUCUACCGUGGUUAAGCACCAUCUCAAGCGUGUCUGACACACACACACACGCAUGCAGGGUGUUCUCGCCACCCUUUUACGCAGUGUGCCCUGACACAUAUACUUACAGUGGACUGUCAGUCACUCACCCUGGUGCCUGCUGGGGACCCAUGGAGAGCAUCCCCUCCAUAUGGCUCACGCCCUGCCCCCACAAGGUUUGGUGGUGGUGGGUGGGAUAUGAGCAGCCGGGCACCCAGGGGCCUCUCAGGUUGGUGAACCCCUUGUCCCCCCAAGACCCCCAUAUGCACCUCUGGUCCAGUUGUGUUGUUCUGUGUUGCAGACAUGGAAAGAAAUGUGCAGCCUCAUCCCAGACAGCUCCGGGCAGAAUUCCAGUCCCGGUUUCUUGUCAAUGACAAGUGGGCCCCGUCCAAUUUGACAAAGACCUUAAGAGAGAAGACUGGGUUCCCCUGCGGAGAAGGGACUUCUCCGUCCAGCCUGCAGCUUUCAGACUUGAGCCUGGAACAGCAACGCCUCCCUGGGUCUCCAGCCUGCUGACAUACCAGGCACAUUCCAGAUUUGCAAACCUCAUGAUCGCGUGUGAACAUCCAGGGCUUCCUACCUGCAGUAUCCCAGCCAGGAAGCAGCACAGAGCAUCUCCGAAGCCUGAAGACAAGGGGUCCUCCCUGUGACCUCACUCUUACAGACAGACCAGCAGCCCUCCUCUUAGUGAAUUCCUUCCCAGGUACAGCCUGUCUGACCCUGAACUCCUAGAAACACAGCUCCACUACUUCCAGUUAGGUGCCUGAUAAGUCAUACAAAGCUGAGAGAGUUUUCAUCUUUUGAGACAGUUUGUAGCCCAGGCUGGAGUACAUUGGCAAGAUCUCAGCUCACUGCAACCUCCGCCUCCCGGGUUCAAGCGAUUCUCCUGUCUCAGCCUCCCGAGUAGCUGAAACUACAGGAGUCCAGCACGCCCAGCUAAGUUUUGUAUUUUUAGUAGAGACAGGGUUCACCAUGGUGCCCAGGCUGGUCUCAAACUCCUGGCCUCAAAUCAUUCACCUGCCCCUCCUAGCAAAGUGCUGGGAUUAUAGGUGAGAGCCACCGCGACCGGCCCCAAGAGAGUUUUCAAACAGACUGCGGGACCUUUGAGUUCCCCUUAACUGAAACCCCUUAAUUCUCCUCUUGCACCGACACCAAGCCCUAAAUGCAACAGGCAGAGACGGCCCCUCCCAUGUUGGGGUGCUGGUGGGGGAAGGAGGAUGAGAAAGAAAGAGCCUCAGAUCAAUAUCCCUGCUGGGAAAGAGGUGGAUAAAAGUCCCAGCCUCGAUCAGGAGAGAAAAGAAGCAGAGGCCACAGCGGGUCCUCAGCUGCUGUCUUCGGAAGGGUAUGAGCUGCAUCAUCAAUACGUCACAAUGAAACUUACAAUUCCUGCCCCAGUUCAUGUUGCUGCUGAUGCAGUGGACUGGGAAGAACCCAGUUAGAAUGGACCCCAGACAACAUCUCAUCCCAAGGCUCUGUCCCCUGCUAAUUGGAGAGGGGAAGGGAAGGACAUUUCCACCAGCACACCCUUAUGGGAUGGGGGUCCCAGGCCCCCCCUGCCCUCCUGGCUCUCGCCUCCCUCCCGGGUGCCCUACAUCAUCUAGGGGUCCCAGCUAUGGAGGAAAAUGAGAAGGGACAUGACCUGCACUAAGAAACCUGCAAGAAACAGGCCAUGCCAUAGGCUGAACAGCGUCUCCCUGAGAAAAAAGAGAAGUGAAGAGUCCUAACCCACGGACCUCAGAAUGUGACCGCAGUUGCCCAUCAUCCCACCCUCUGGCAUGGCUACCUGUGCUUGUUUUUAACACUAUGACCUCCCCUGUGUGUGGGCAGUGCCAAGGCCCCUGGGCAGUAGCCCUCACCAGUCCCCAGCCACUGGGCCCUGAUGGGUUGGGGAGAGAGACCCCUGAAGUCUCUCUCUUCGUUUUUCUUUCAGACAGAGUCUCACUCUGUUGCCCAGGCUGGAGUGCAAUGGCUCGAUCUCGGCUCACUGCAACCUCCACUUCCUGGACUCAAGUGAGUCUCCUGCCUCAGCCUCCCGAGUAGCUGGGAUUACAGGUGCCCACCACCAUGCCCAGCUAAUCUUUGUAUUUUUAGUAGAGAUGGGAUUUCACCAUGUUGGUCAGGCUGGUCUCAAACUCCUGACCUCCAGUGAUC
This is a non-coding RNA of Callithrix jacchus (white-tufted-ear marmoset), 3739 nucleotides long. NCBI's taxonomy places the organism in Eukaryota, Metazoa, Chordata, Mammalia, Primates, Cebidae. The record is from RefSeq and is a predicted model, not a curated record.